RNAcentral lists this transfer RNA (76 nucleotides) under bacterium. RNAcentral describes it as "tRNA-Phe". It matches the Rfam family "tRNA". From Rfam's summary of the family: Transfer RNA (tRNA) molecules are approximately 80 nucleotides in length. Their secondary structure includes four short double-helical elements and three loops (D, anti-codon, and T loops). RNAcentral also lists the same sequence under 6 other names. The record is from RNAcentral.
GCCGAGGUAGCUCAGUUGGUAGAGCAAAGGACUGAAAAUCCUUGUGUCCGCAGUUCAAUUCUGCGUCUCGGCACCA